GCAUAACGCGAAGAACCUUACCUAGGCUUGACAUGCAUCUCUAAGCACGUGAAAGCGUGUGACCCUUCGGGGAAUUUGCACAGGUGCUGCAUGGCCGUCGUCAGCUCGUGUCGUGAGAUGUUGGGUUAAGUCCCGCAACGAGCGCAACCCUUGUGACUAGUUGCCAGCACGUUAUGGUGGGAACUCUAGUCAGACUGCCCAGAUCAACUGGGAGGAAGGUGGGGACGACGUCAGGUCAGUAUGGCCCUUACGCCUAGGGCUGCACACGUACUACAAUGCCCAGCACAAUGAGAACCGAGACCGCGAGGUGGAGGAAAUCUAAAAAACUGGGCCCAGUUCGGAUUGGAGGCUGCAACUCGCCUCCAUGAAGUUGGAAUCGCUAGUAAUGGCGCAUCAUCUACGGCGCCGUGAAUACGUUCCCGGGUCUUGUACACACCG
This 438-nucleotide ribosomal RNA is filed under the name uncultured bacterium. RNAcentral's name for it is "bacterial SSU rRNA". It matches the Rfam family "Bacterial small subunit ribosomal RNA", at positions 954 to 1392 of the family's 1533-position model. The record is from RNAcentral.